GGGUCCUGUUAGUGUGCUGUGUGUGUGAGGGUGCUGUUUGUGUGAUGUGUGUGUGUGAGGGUGCUGUGUGUGAGAGUGCUGUUUGUCUCAUGUGUUUGUGAGGGUGCUGUUAGUGUGCUGUGUGUGAGGGUGCUGUUUGUGUGAGGGUGCUGUGUGUGUUUGUGAAGGUGCUGUUAGUGUGCUGUGUGUGAGGGUGUUGUGUGUUUGUAAGGGUGCUGUUUGUGUCGUGUAUUUGUGAGGGUGCUGUUAGUGUGCUGUGUGUGAGUGUGCUGUUUGUGUGAGGGUGCUGUGUGUGUUUGUGAGGGUGCUGUUAGUGUGCUGUGUGUGAGGGUGUUGUGUGUUUGUAAGGGUGCUGUGUGUGUGUGUUUGUGAGAGUGCUGUUAGUGUACUGUGUGUGUGAG
Non-coding RNA from Pelobates cultripes (western spadefoot toad), 401 nucleotides. The record is from the annotation of a GenBank genome assembly. NCBI's taxonomy places the organism in Eukaryota, Metazoa, Chordata, Amphibia, Anura, Pelobatidae.